UACGAAGGGGGCUAGCGUUGCUCGGAAUCACUGGGCGUAAAGGGUGCGUAGGCGGGUCUUUAGGUCAGGGGUGAAAUCCUGGAGCUCAACUCCAGAACUGCCUUUGAUACUGAAGAUCUUGAGUUCGGGAGAGGUGAGUGGAACUGCGAGUGUAGAGGUGAAAUUCGUAGAUAUUCGCAAGAACACCAGCGGCGAAGGCGGCGCUCUGGGCCGGAACUGACGCUGAGGAGCGAAAGCGUGGGGAGCAAACAGG
Molecule: ribosomal RNA, 253 nt
Filed under: uncultured bacterium
Lineage: Bacteria
Description: partial 16S ribosomal RNA
Rfam family: Bacterial small subunit ribosomal RNA
Source: RNAcentral